This 456-nucleotide ribosomal RNA is filed under the name uncultured bacterium. RNAcentral's name for it is "partial 16S ribosomal RNA". It matches the Rfam family "Bacterial small subunit ribosomal RNA", at positions 29 to 523 of the family's 1533-position model. The record is from RNAcentral.
AACGAACGCUGGCGGCAGGCUUAACACAUGCAAGUCGAACGGUUGUAGCAAUACAGCAGUGGCAGACGGGUGAGUAACACGUGGGAACCUUCCUAGGGGUACGGAACAACUCAGGGAAACUUGAGCUAAUACCGUAUACGUCCGUGAGGAGAAAGAUUUAUCGCCCUUAGACGGGCCCGCGUCGGAUUAGCUAGGUGGUGGGGUACCGGCCUACCAAGGCGACGAUCCGUAGCUGAUCUUAGAGGAUGAUCAGCCACACUGGGACUGAGAUACGGCCCAGACUCCUACGGGAGGCAGCAGUGGGGAAUAUUGCACAAUGGGCGCAAGCCUGAUGCAGCGACGCCGCGUGAGGGAUGACGGCCUUCGGGUUGUAAACCUCUUUCAGUAGGGACGAAGCGCAAGUGACGGUACCUACAGAAGAAGGACCGGCCAACUACGUGCCAGCCGCCGCCGUAA